AUUGAACGCUGGCGGAAUGCUUUACACAUGCGAGUCGAACGGCAGCACGGACUUCGGUCUGGUGGCGAGUGGCGAACGGGUGAGUAAUAUAUCGGAACGUGCCCAGUCGUGGGGGAUAACGUAGCGAAAGCUACGCUAAUACCGCAUACGAUCUACGGAUGAAAGCGGGGGAUCGCAAGACCUCGCGCGAUUGGAGCGGCCGAUAUCAGAUUAGGUAGUUGGUGAGGUAAAGGCGCACCAAGCCGACGAUCUGUAGCUGGUCUGAGAGGACGACCAGCCACACUGGGACUGAGACACGGCCCAGACUCCUACGGAAGGCAGCAGUGGGGAAUUUUGGACAAUGGACGCAAGUCUGAUCCAGCCAUUCCGCGUGCAGGACGAAGGCCUUCGGGUUGUAAACUGCUUUUGUACAGAACGAAAAGGUCUCUAUUAAUACUAGGGGCUCAUGACGGUACUGUAAGAAUAAGCACCGGCUAACUACGUGCCAGCCGCCGCGGUAA
This 500-nucleotide ribosomal RNA is filed under the name uncultured bacterium. RNAcentral's name for it is "partial 16S ribosomal RNA". It matches the Rfam family "Bacterial small subunit ribosomal RNA", at positions 30 to 523 of the family's 1533-position model. The record is from RNAcentral.